AUGUCUCUUUCUGUGUUGUUACACUACAACAGAAUUAGAUUAUAGAGACACAUGUAUGGAGCAUUUUUGUAUAAGUGUUCAAUUUAUGCCAAAACUUAAAAAAAUCUACUAAUGCCUAAAUAUAAAGCCCAAUCCAAUCAAAAAUAAAAAGUAAUUACUCUACUCAACCCAUCCCACCCAGCCCAUUCGGCCUGAUUACAAAUAGAAAAGAAAAGAAAAAAGAAAAAUCGAUUACCAUCUUCCUUUCUCCCCUCACUCAAUUCACUGAAAUUUUAACCGAAGAUCCCUUCCUCUCGUCCUCCUCCACCACCGCAGCCAACGAGUUAGAGUUCCGGCGAUUGUUAAAUGCUUAAAUAAGUAUUGGUAAAUUAGCAGUACUUUUUUUGGUUAUAGCGACGCUCUUUAACUGUCACUAUAUACCUAGCGACCCCACAUAUAGCAACACUUUUUAAAAGUGUCAGUAAUUUAGUCAGCAGCACUUUUUUUGAUCUAUACCAACAUUUAAAAGUGUCGUUAUACACCGUUUUUAUUGUAGUGUUAAUUUUAUUGCUGUUUGAUGCUCAGAUAUUUGAUUUUGAAAACUAAUUG
Molecule: long non-coding RNA, 588 nt
Filed under: Ananas comosus (pineapple)
Lineage: Eukaryota; Viridiplantae; Streptophyta; Magnoliopsida; Poales; Bromeliaceae
Description: long non-coding RNA (ACOM_LNC008157)
Source: RNAcentral